This 2915-nucleotide ribosomal RNA is filed under the name Klebsiella variicola. Its description in RNAcentral is "23S ribosomal RNA". It matches the Rfam family "Bacterial large subunit ribosomal RNA". Lineage: Bacteria; Pseudomonadati; Pseudomonadota; Gammaproteobacteria; Enterobacterales; Enterobacteriaceae. The record is from RNAcentral.
GGGUUGUGAGGUUAAGCGACUAAGCGUACACGGUGGAUGCCCCGGCAGUCAGAGGCGAUGAAGGACGUGCUAAUCUGCGAAAAGCGUCGGUAAGGUGAUAUGAACCGUUAUAGCCGGCGAUGUCCGAAUGGGGAAACCCAGUGCAAUUCGUUGCACUAUCGUUAACUGAAUACAUAGGUUAACGAGGCGAACCGGGGAACUGAAACAUCUAAGUACCCGAGGAAAAGAAAUCAACCGAGAUUCCCAGUAGCGGCGAGCGAACGGGGAGCAGCCCAGAGUCUGAAUCAGCUUGUGUGUUAGUGGAACGGUCUGGAAAGUCCGACGGUACAGGGUGAUAGUCCCGUACACCAAAAUGCACAGGCUGUGAACUCGAAGAGUAGGGCGGGACACGUGGUAUCCUGUCUGAAUAUGGGGGACCAUCCUCCAAGGCUAAAUACUCCUGACUGACCGAUAGUGAACCAGUACCGUGAGGGAAAGGCGAAAAGAACCCCGGCGAGGGGAGUGAAAAAGAACCUGAAACCGUGUACGUACAAGCAGUGGGAGCACCCUUUAGGGUGUGACUGCGUACCUUUGUAUAAUGGGUCAGCGACUUAUAUUCUGUAGCAAGGUUAACCGUAUAGGGGAGCCGCAGGGAAACCGAGUCUUAACUGGGCGUUAAGUUGCAGGGUAUAGACCCGAAACCCGGUGAUCUAGCCAUGGGCAGGUUGAAGGUUGGGUAACACUAACUGGAGGACCGAACCGACUAAUGUUGAAAAAUUAGCGGAUGACUUGUGGCUGGGGUGAAAGGCCAAUCAAACCGGGAGAUAGCUGGUUCUCCCGAAAGCUAUUUAGGUAGCGCCUCGUGAACUCAUCUUCGGGGUAGAGCACUGUUUCGGCUAGGGGUCAUCCCGACUUACCAACCCGAUGCAAACUACGAAUACCGAAGAAUGUUAUCACGGGAGACACACGGCGGGUGCUAACGUCCGUCGUGAAGAGGGAAACAACCCAGACCGCCAGCUAAGGUCCCAAAGUCAUGGUUAAGUGGGAAACGAUGUGGGAAGGCACAGACAGCCGGGAUGUUGGCUUAGAAGCAGCCAUCAUUUAAAGAAAGCGUAAUAGCUCACUGGUCGAGUCGGCCUGCGCGGAAGAUGUAACGGGGCUAAACCAUGCACCGAAGCUGCGGCAGCGACACUAUGUGUUGUUGGGUAGGGGAGCGUUCUGUAAGCCUGCGAAGGUGGCCUGUGAGGGUUGCUGGAGGUAUCAGAAGUGCGAAUGCUGACAUAAGUAACGAUAAAGCGGGUGAAAAGCCCGCUCGCCGGAAGACCAAGGGUUCCUGUCCAACGUUAAUCGGGGCAGGGUGAGUCGACCCCUAAGGCGAGGCCGAAAGGCGUAGUCGAUGGGAAACAGGUUAAUAUUCCUGUACUUGGUGUUACUGCGAAGGGGGACGGAGAAGGCUAUGUUAGCCGGGCGACGGUUGUCCCGGUUUAAGCAUGUAGGCGGAGGUUCAGGUAAAUCCGGUACCUUUUAACGCUGAGGUGUGAUGACGAGGCACUACGGUGCUGAAGUAACAAAUGCCCUGCUUCCGUGAAAAGCCUCUAAGCAUCAGGUAACAUCAAAUCGUACCCCAAACCGACACAGGUGGUCAGGUAGAGAAUACCAAGGCGCUUGAGAGAACUCGGGUGAAGGAACUAGGCAAAAUGGUGCCGUAACUUCGGGAGAAGGCACGCUGAUAUGUAGGUGAAGUCCCUGCGGAUGGAGCUGAAAUCAGUCGAAGAUACCAGCUGGCUGCAACUGUUUAUUAAAAACACAGCACUGUGCAAACACGAAAGUGGACGUAUACGGUGUGACGCCUGCCCGGUGCCGGAAGGUUAAUUGAUGGGGUUAUCCGUAAGGAGAAGCUCUUGAUCGAAGCCCCGGUAAACGGCGGCCGUAACUAUAACGGUCCUAAGGUAGCGAAAUUCCUUGUCGGGUAAGUUCCGACCUGCACGAAUGGCGUAAUGAUGGCGGGCUGUCUCCACCCGAGACUCAGUGAAAUUGAACUCGCUGUGAAGAUGCAGUGUACCCGCGGCAAGACGGAAAGACCCCGUGAACCUUUACUAUAGCUUGACACUGAACAUUGAGCCUUGAUGUGUAGGAUAGGUGGGAGGCUUUGAAGCGUGGACGCCAGUCUGCGUGGAGCCAACCUUGAAAUACCACCCUUUAAUGUUUGAUGUUCUAACGUAGACCCCUAAUCGGGGUUGCGGACAGUGUCUGGUGGGUAGUUUGACUGGGGCGGUCUCCUCCCAAAGAGUAACGGAGGAGCACGAAGGUUAGCUAAUCUGGUCGGACAUCAGGAGGUUAGUGCAAUGGCAUAAGCUAGCUUGACUGCGAGCGUGACGGCGCGAGCAGGUGCGAAAGCAGGUCAUAGUGAUCCGGUGGUUCUGAAUGGAAGGGCCAUCGCUCAACGGAUAAAAGGUACUCCGGGGAUAACAGGCUGAUACCGCCCAAGAGUUCAUAUCGACGGCGGUGUUUGGCACCUCGAUGUCGGCUCAUCACAUCCCGGGCUGAAGUAGGUCCCAAGGGUAUGGCUGUUCGCCAUUUAAAGUGGUACGCGAGCUGGGUUUAGAACGUCGUGAGACAGUUCGGUCCCUAUCUGCCGUGGGCGCUGGAGAAUUGAGGGGGCUGCUCCUAGUACGAGAGGACCGGAGUGGACGCAUCACUGGUGUUCGGGUUGUCAUGCCAAUGGCAUUGCCCGGUAGCUAAAUGCGGAAGAGAUAAGUGCUGAAAGAUCUAAGCACGAAACUUGCCCCGAGAUGAGUUCUCCCUGAGACUUUAAGUCUCCUGAAGGAACGUUGAAGACGACGACGUUGAUAGGCCGGGUGUGUAAGCGCAGCGAUGCGUUGAGCUAACCGGUACUAAUGAACCGUGAGGCUUAACCUUACAACGCCGAAGCUGUU